AACGAACGCUGGCGGCAUGCCUAACACAUGCAAGUCGAACGAGACCUUCGGGUCUAGUGGCGCACGGGUGCGUAACGCGUCGGAACCUGCCCUUAGGUUCGGAAUAACUCCCCGACAGGGGUGCUAAUACCGGAUAAUGUCUUCGGACCAAAGAUUUAUCGCCUUUGGAUGGGCCCGCGUUGGAUUAGCUAGUUGGUAGGGUAAAAGCCUACCAAGGCGACGAUCCAUAGCUGGUCUGAGAGGAUGAUCAGCCACACUGGGACUGAGACACGGCCCAGACUCCUACGCAAGGCAGCAGUGGGGAAUAUUGGACAAUGGGCGAAGGCCUGAUCCAGCAAUGCCGCGUGAGUGAUGAAGGCCUUAGGGUUGUAAAGCUCUUUUACCCGGGACGAUAAUGACAGUACCGGGAGAAUAAGCACCGGCUAACUCCGUG
RNAcentral lists this ribosomal RNA (433 nucleotides) under uncultured bacterium. Its description in RNAcentral is "partial 16S ribosomal RNA". It matches the Rfam family "Bacterial small subunit ribosomal RNA", at positions 29 to 507 of the family's 1533-position model. The record is from RNAcentral.